RNAcentral lists this non-coding RNA (24 nucleotides) under Cricetulus griseus (Chinese hamster). The record is from RNAcentral. Lineage: Eukaryota; Metazoa; Chordata; Mammalia; Rodentia; Cricetidae.
GAGAGCUCCAGAGCCGGCCCAGCC